GUGUUGAUAAGAAAGGAGAGAUAGUUGGCAAUCCCCUCGAUAAGGACGGAAUUGGGGUCUAUCCCCUCAUCAACACAUAUAGUGUUAAGGCAGUGUCAAUCCCCUUUGGGGUACGACGUCUUGAACAGUUUUUUUUU
RNAcentral lists this non-coding RNA (137 nucleotides) under Rhizophagus irregularis DAOM 181602=DAOM 197198. RNAcentral also lists the same sequence under 1 other name. Lineage: Eukaryota; Fungi; Glomeromycota; Glomeromycetes; Glomerales; Glomeraceae. The record is from RNAcentral.